UACAGAGGGGGCAAGCGUUAUUCGGAAUUAUUGGGCGUAAAGGGCGCGUAGGCGGCUUGGCAAGUGGAAGGUGAAAUCACUCGGCUUAACCGAGGAACUGCCCUCCAAACUGCUUCGCUUGAGACCGGGAGAGGUGAGUGGAAUUCCCAGUGUAGCGGUGAAAUGCGUAGAUAUUGGGAGGAACACCAGUGGCGAAGGCGGCUCACUGGACCGGUACUGACGCUGAUGCGCGAAAGCGUGGGGAGCAAACGGG
RNAcentral lists this ribosomal RNA (253 nucleotides) under uncultured bacterium. RNAcentral's name for it is "partial 16S ribosomal RNA". It matches the Rfam family "Bacterial small subunit ribosomal RNA", at positions 524 to 776 of the family's 1533-position model. The record is from RNAcentral.